Long non-coding RNA from Columba livia (rock pigeon), 3418 nucleotides. RefSeq lists it as uncharacterized. The record is from RefSeq and is a predicted model, not a curated record. The transcript is spliced from 4 exons. NCBI's taxonomy places the organism in Eukaryota, Metazoa, Chordata, Aves, Columbiformes, Columbidae.
AAACAACUCAGGCUCAUCCAUGGGUUUCUCGCCUGCUGUACCUCCCUUUCACUUGUCUACACUGACAGGUAGCUCAGGAUCUUCCCUUUCAGAUCAAGAAGACCAGCUAUCCAUGAAUACUUGUGAGAUUGAGCUGAGGAGUGGAAUGACAGAGCAGCUUUAGGGGGCAGCUCGAGUCCAGCCAGAGUCAACCCACACAGAAGCUGGUGUGGGCAGCCAAGCUGAAACAAAAAUGGAUGGAAGAGAAAAAGAUAGAAGACCUCGACCAGGAAUCUCUUGCUGAUGGAAAAUUGAGGUAUCUCUGUGGUAAGAAGAUCAUAUUGUCCUGCUGACAGAUCAUGCAUGUGAAGUAGAAGAGCUGAUACAGGACAGUGAAACCAGCAAUGAACCUGAGAAAAUUGAGAAGGCGCAGCUGGAAUAUAAAUGGACCCAAAGCAGCCUCUGACAAGGAAAGGCAAAAGCAAAGAAAGGAAAACAAGCAGGGGAACAGAAAAAUGCUGAAAGUAAUAGUAACCCCCACAAACAUAGGAUGCUUCCUCCAGAAUGUGUGCAUGAGGGUUUGAACAUGUAUUUAUCUGUCAUCAGAUUAGCAAGAACAUGAGCCAGAAUAAUGCUGAUACAAAUUACAAAGGUACCAAAGUGCAUGUUUUAUCUAUGACAGGUUAUAUCCUCAUUCAGAGGUAUUUAAAUCCUGAUUAAAUGGGACCCUGAAACAUCUGUGGAGAGUCAAAUUGAAUCAUCCUUCAGGGGGACAAGCACUACAUGUUUUCAUUACAUUUCAAUUAUGUAGCCUGUCCAGAUCUUAAGGAUUUACACUGUUUUUUUAAUCAUAUAUUUCUUUAGAGCUGGACAGAGAUGUAAUGAUGAUGCUAGUGCAGUAGACAAAUGUUGACAAAAAUAAACAGCAAAAUUUGAAGCAAUCCAUUCAUUAGACUACCUAUGGAUGAAAAAAUGUGUUGUUUUCUUUUUUAAUGACUGACAAAGACACUGAUUCCUGAAAGCUGUGUUUUAGAACUGUUGAUUAAAUCUCCUACAAGUGAAAACUGUCGGAUAAAUCUCCUACAUGUGUUUACCUGAGUAGUGCAUCAAAGAGCCACAGUAGCUCGGAUCUGAUUCUGAAUGUGAAAAAAAAAAAGAAAAAGAAAGUGUUUUUAGAAAGCCUGGAGCCUUUGUAAUGAAAUGUGGAAAAUGCUUAGAGAAGUGGAGGGUAAUCUGGUGAAAAGCCAGAUGAACUCAAGAUACUGAGGGAAAGAUUGAUCACGAAGCAGAAUUGCAGAGAAGGGAGAUGAAACACUAGAAGCAGAUAAGUUUAUCUAGUGAAUGUAUAGAGGAAGAAAGCAAAGAAGAUAACAGAUCUAGAGACAAAGACAAUGAGAUGGUAGCUGAAGAGGAAGGCUGAGAGAUGAUUUUUUUCCUCAGAGGUUCAACGACAAUACUGUAUUCUUCUGAUGCUGGCAAGGUGAUGGUGCAAAAGUAGUUACUGCAGCAGGUAGGAGAAGAAUCACAAUGCCUUGUUAGUUUUGCAAUUAGACCAGCAGAUUGAUACUCCUGAGACCUGCAAUUUCCCUUCUCGGUUAUGUUUGAAACCUUGGUUUCCUUGGGCAAGGCAAUUACCCCUCUCUGGUAAAUAAGGCAGAAAGGAUGAGAAAAGCUGAAGAAGCUGCCAAAAGGCCUGAUAGCAGGCACUAAAAGUGAUUACUUACAAAUACAUAUUGGGGUUCUUUUGUUUCCUUUCUGAUCCCAUCAAGAGCACUCAAGGCACAUUUCAGCUUAUUUUUUAUUUAUUCCCUUGAAUCUUCUUACUUCAGAAGAAACUGGUUAUUCUCACCCAAGAGCCUGGGCUCUUUGAAAAGCACCAGCUCUCAUCAGACUUUUGAUAAAAUCAUAAGAGCCAGAAACAUUGAAAGUUCCUUUUGUAUUAAUAACCUCUCUUUCAUUAAUACUUACUUUUCAUUUGAAUAAUUAUCAUAAAUAAAAAUUAAAACCUUAUGUUUGUGGGGAGUGUGAGCAGCCUUGGGAUUAAAAUGAGUGACAUCCCUCAAAAAUGAAGGCUGUUAGAGGGUUAUUUUUCUUACAAGCGGAGCUGUUUCUGCAAGAGCAUUCUGAGUCUGGCGUACUACCAGACCAAGAAAACACAGGAGAUAAAUUCUGCAAAUGAGAAGCAGAACUGGGAAAAAGAUUGUUUGAUUCAUCUACAACAAAAAUUGUGUAGCUUUAACUAUUAAUACUAUGAAAAUGAUGGAGUUUCUAAUACCAUUAAUGAUUCUUUUAAGCAGUGGGUUUAAAUUAUAGUUCUUCUUCAUUUAAUUUUCAUUAUUUGCUAUUUGCCUGUGCAAACAAGACACGGUUUUCAGCAAUGGUUUGCUGAGAAGCUUGGGAAGACAUGCAGGACUGUGAUAUAUCACACCCAUGACAAUGUAAACCACAGAAAAAUAUGAACAAAGGCAAGACAAAUGUACCCUCUAGAGCACUAAAGUUACAGAAUGCCUGGAGAUGAAGAACAGCUAAUUUACGGUAAAAUGGGCCAUAAUUUGGAGAAAAUGGCUAAGUUUGAUUUAUAAUUUGCAGGUAAAAUGUAUGAACUCUGUGUCUAUCAAACUAGAGCUCCAUACUAAAGCUAACUGCUCUCCUGGACUGUUUUUAUUUUUUAAUAUAUAUAUAUAUAUAUGGAGAUAACCACAAGCAUUUAUUAAACUUGAUAACUUUACAUUCAAAGAGAGCUCCUGCUCUUUUUAGAUGUGGCCUAUAUUUCUUCCCACAUAAGACAUCAAUUAAGCACCCGAAACAGAAAUGUUGUCAGUGGCAAGACCGAGGCAUCACCUGCCAUUUUAGAGAACACGACACUGUGCUUAGAUGCCAAACCACAAACAAAUCUUAACAGUAGGGAAAUUGUGUUAAGGAAUGAGGCACACAUAUUUUGUUGUGUUGUCUUGAACUGUUUGUUGUGUUAUUUAAAACAAAGUGUAAUUGUUGGUUAAAGUGCUCGAAUACUCCAUGUAAUUACACUUGGACUCUGUUGGGUGCAGCUGAGCCACAGAGGUAUCUGGAAGGGUGUGAAGUGUGCUUGGGUUUCAACGCUGAUGGAGGGGUCAGCACUAGCAGGGAGAAGAAGAAGCCAGACCAAGUCCUGGGUCGUUAUAUUAUUUACACCUCUGUGAACUGAGUGACAAUAGAGAUCUGUGCCCGAAGUGGGCAGUGUAAUAGUAUCAUGUCUUGAGAAGAUGGUUUUCUACCUCUUUGUCCUCCUGCUCUGUCUUAAUUUACACACACAGUGUGUGUACCUGAUUCGCAGAGGGUGGGUUACAUACAAAUAAUACCUAUGGUUGAUGAAAAAUUGGACAUGAGCCAGCAAAGUGCGCUUGCAGCCCAGAAAGCCAACCAAAUCCUGGGCAGCAUCAAAAGGAGCGCGGCCAGCAGG